GACGAACGCUGGCGGCGUGCCUAAUACAUGCAAGUAGAACGCACAGUUUAUACCGUAGCUUGCUACACCAUAGACUGUGAGUUGCGAACGGGUGAGUAACGCGUAGGUAACCUGCCUGGUAGCGGGGGAUAACUAUUGGAAACGAUAGCUAAUACCGCAUAAUAUUAAUUAUUGCAUGAUAAUUAAAUGAAAGGUGCAAUUGCACCACUACCAGAUGGACCUGCGUUGUAUUAGCUAGUAGGUGAGGUAACGGCUCACCUAGGCGACGAUACAUAGCCGACCUGAGAGGGUGAUCGGCCACACUGGGACUGAGACACGGCCCAGACUCCUACGGGAGGCAGCAGUAGGGAAUCUUCGGCAAUGGACGAAAGUCUGACCGAGCAACGCCGCGUGAGUGAAGAAGGUUUUCGGAUCGUAAAGCUCUGUUGUAAGAGAAGAACGGGUGUGAGAGUGGAAAGUUCACACUGUGACGGUAUCUUACCAGAAAGGGACGGCUAACUACGUG
Molecule: ribosomal RNA, 505 nt
Filed under: uncultured bacterium
Lineage: Bacteria
Description: partial 16S ribosomal RNA
Rfam family: Bacterial small subunit ribosomal RNA
Source: RNAcentral